This is an unclassified non-coding RNA of Callithrix jacchus (white-tufted-ear marmoset), 300 nucleotides long. It matches the Rfam family "Metazoan signal recognition particle RNA". Rfam says of the family: The signal recognition particle (SRP) is a universally conserved ribonucleoprotein. It is involved in the co-translational targeting of proteins to membranes. NCBI's taxonomy places the organism in Eukaryota, Metazoa, Chordata, Mammalia, Primates, Cebidae. The record is from Ensembl.
GCCGGGCAUGGUGACGCAUGCCUAUGGUCUCAGCUACUAGGGAGGCUGAGGCUGGAGAAUCUCUUGAGUCCAGGAGUUCUGGGCUGUAGUGUGCUAUGCCAAUCGGGUGUCUGCAGUAAGUUCGGCAUCAAUAUGGUGACCUCCCGGGACCAGGGGACCACCAGGUUGCCUAAGGAGGUGUGAACCGGCCUAGGUUGGAAAUGAAGCAGGUCAAAACUCUCGUUCUGAUCAGCAGUGGGACUGCGCCUGUGAACAGCCACUGUACUCCAGCCUGGGCAACAUAGCGAGACCCUGUCUCUU